RNAcentral lists this ribosomal RNA (406 nucleotides) under uncultured bacterium. RNAcentral describes it as "partial 16S ribosomal RNA". It matches the Rfam family "Bacterial small subunit ribosomal RNA", at positions 30 to 526 of the family's 1533-position model. The record is from RNAcentral.
AUUGAACGCUGGCGGCAGGCCUAACACAUGCAAGUCGAACGAGUGGCGGACGGGUGAGUAAUGUUUGGGAAUCUGGCUUAUGGAGGGGGAUAACUACGGGAAACUGUAGCUAAUACCGCGUACCAUAGGAUGAGCCCAGGUGGGAUUAGGUAGUGGGUGGGGUAAAGGCUCACCAAGGCGACGAUCCCUAGCUGGUCUGAGAGGAUGACCAGCCACACUGGGACUGAGACACGGCCCAGACUCCGACGGGAGGCAGCAGUGGGGAAUAUUGCGCAAUGGGCGCAAGCCUGAUGCAGCCAUGCCGCGUGAAUGAAGAAGGCCUUCGGGUUGUAAAGUUCUUUCGGUAGGGAGGCGUUAACUGCAGAAGAAGCACCGGCUAACUCCGUGCCAGCAGCCGCGGUAAUUC